CCUGAUGCGCCAUGCCGCGUGUGUGAAGAAGGCCUUCGGGUUGUAAAGCACUUUCAGUCGUGAGGAAGGUGGUGAGUUAAUAGCCGCAUCAUUUGACGUUACCGACAGAAGAAGCACCGGCUAACUCCGUGCCAGCAGCCGCGGUAAUACGGAGGGUGCGAGCGUUAAUCGGAAUUACUGGGCGUAAAGCGCAUGCAGGUGGUUUGUUAAGUCAGAUGUGAAAGCCCGGGGCUCAACCUCGGAAUUGCAUUUGAAACUGGCAGACUAGAGUACUGUAGAGGGGGGUAGAAUUUCAGGUGUAGCGGUGAAAUGCGUAGAGAUCUGAAGGAAUACCGGUGGCGAAGGCGGCCCCCUGGACAGAUACUGACACUCAGAUGCGAAAGCGUGGGGAGCAAACAGGAUUAGAUACCCUGGUAGUCCACGCCGUAAACGAUGUCUACUUGGAGGUUGUGGCCUUGAGCCGUGGCUUUCGGAGCUAACGCGUUAAGUAGACCGCCUGGGGAGUACGGUCGCAAGAUUAAAACUCAAAUGAAUUGACGGGGGCCCGCACAAGCGGUGGAGCAUGUGGUUUAAUUCGAUGCAACGCGAAGAACCUUACCUACUCUUGACAUCCAGAGAACUUUCCAGAGAUGGAUUGGUGCCUUCGGGAACUCUGAGACAGGUGCUGCAUGGCUGUCGUCAGCUCGUGUUGUGAAAUGUUGGGUUAAGUCCCGCAACGAGCGCAACCCUUAUCCUUGUUUGCCAGCGAGUAAUGUCGGGAACUCCAGGGAGACUGCCGGUGAUAAACCGGAGGAAGGUGGGGACGACGUCAAGUCAUCAUGGCCCUUACGAGUAGGGCUACACACGUGCUACAAUGGCACAUACAGAGGGCGGACAACUUGCGAGAGUGAGCGAAUCCCAAAAAGUGCGUCAUAUCCGGAUUGGAGUCUGCAACUCGACUCCAUGAAGUCGGAAUCGCUAGUAAUCGUGGAUCAAAGUGCCACGGUGAAUACGUUCCCGGGCCUUGUACACACCGCCCGUCACACCUGGGAGUGGGCUGCAAAAAAGUAGG
This 1051-nucleotide ribosomal RNA is filed under the name Vibrio sp. 8012. Its description in RNAcentral is "bacterial SSU rRNA". It matches the Rfam family "Bacterial small subunit ribosomal RNA", at positions 382 to 1430 of the family's 1533-position model. Lineage: Bacteria; Pseudomonadati; Pseudomonadota; Gammaproteobacteria; Vibrionales; Vibrionaceae. The record is from RNAcentral.